Molecule: long non-coding RNA, 696 nt
Filed under: Carica papaya (papaya)
Lineage: Eukaryota; Viridiplantae; Streptophyta; Magnoliopsida; Brassicales; Caricaceae
Description: long non-coding RNA (CPAP_LNC000919)
Source: RNAcentral
UGUCAAGUGGCAAAAUUCGAUGAGAAGAGAGGAGAAAACGAUGCUUAGCAUAAAAAACGAGGGAGGAAGGCCUCCUCCACCAAUGGUGGUGGUGCGCUACCCGAGGCGAAGACAGUGCACUGCCCAAAGUGUUAGUGCCCUGGUGCACUACAGGCUAUCUUGCAGGCAUACAGGUCUCCUACCGCGCGUACAGGCCCUAGGCACGCAAGGCCUAUCCACGUAGGGCUGAUGCAUAGACGCCCACAUACAAUGUGCGGCGCCUACCCGUUCAUGAGGUGACGUGUGGAUGGCUGCAUACGCGUGAUAAGAUGUGAGCAGGACUAGUCCUGCGCCAUGCGAGCGGAUGGGAUGUGCGCACUGUGCGCACAUUCUGCGUAUGCUGUGCGCAUGUGCAGACUUGACCGCACAGGCUGCGAGUGUUCAGCCUCUUGGGCCAGCGCACGUGUGGUCAAUUCUAUAUGGGCAUAGUGGGCUGCGUGCAUGGGCACUCUCGAGCACUCAUGUACUCAGUCUGUAUAGGCACGCGUGAAUGUUCGUGGGUCAUGGGGAUUGGGCUGCAUGUCUAACACACGUGUGGGCUUCCUUACUUGGGCGUGGGGACCUCCAAGUCUCUGCGUUAGGAAAGUUGCCUAUCUCCAGGUUUUUUAGAGAGUAUAAGGUCAUCUUGACUGCUUCAUCACAGGAUUGGGGAACAUC